Molecule: ribosomal RNA, 263 nt
Filed under: uncultured bacterium
Lineage: Bacteria
Description: partial 16S ribosomal RNA
Rfam family: Bacterial small subunit ribosomal RNA
Source: RNAcentral
CAUGAGUGGCGGACGGGUGAGUAACGCGUGGGCAACCUGGCCUGUACAGGGGGAUAACACUUAGAAAUAGGUGCUAAUACCGCAUAACGGGGGAAGCCGCAUGGCUUUUCCCUGAAAACUCCGGUGGUACAGGAUGGGCCCGCGUCUGAUUAGCCAGUUGGCAGGGUAACGGCCUACCAAAGCGACGAUCAGUAGCCGGCCUGAGAGGGUGGACGGCCACAUUGGGACUGAGACACGGCCCAGACUCCUACGGAAGGCAGCAG